UCGAAACAACUAUUAAAUUUAUACAGUUAUAUAAACUAAAUUCGUGUCUAUGGAACUUUAAAUCACCUGAAUACAAGAUAAAGCAAAAACGGGAUGCAGCAUAUAAUUCCAUAGUUAAUGGAAUGAAUAUAACGGGAUUCGGUACACUAGAAGUUAAAAACAAAAUAAAAAUUUAUGGUCGACGUACCAACAAGAAAAUAAAAAAAUUCAAGAAUCGAAGAAAUCCGGAGCGGGUCAGUAAUGUGUACACUUCAAAUAUUAAAUGGCUGAAAGUGAUGGAAGAGGUGUUUUCAAAAGAUUUAAACAAAUUUUUUUUUUGAAAACAUUCCUGGUACUAAUGAAGACACAGCUUCUCAGAACAGUAGCUCUGCUACAUCUUCGCAUCCAAACAUCAACCAGGAAGUAUUAGCUAAUACAAGCAACGACCAGCAAGCACCACUUACUGUAACUACGACUGCCACUGGAAAUACUGCGAGAGCUAAAAAGAGAACUAAAGAAAUUUUUCAAGCUGUUUCUGAUCUCAAAAAGUUAAAUGAUGGGAUAAAUUCUGAGAGUGAAACCGUAUUUGAUGUGUUUGGAAGGAGUGUUGCGUUACAACUUAAGAAUUUAUCGGCAGAGAAUGCUCUAAUAGCACAAAGUAGAAUCCAGAAUAUUCUGACAGAAUUUGGGAUAAAAGAACUUAGACAAAGAACUACUUCGUCUUUUUCUAAUCACAGCUACCAAACACCGUCUUCUGUAUAUUCAGACACGACUAAUGACUAUUAUGUUUAAUUACUUAAAUUUAAUUACGUUUGAUGAAACUUAUGUGGAUUCUCCGCCACAACUACCAACACCAGCUCCCUCUACAUCGCAAACAAUCUUUGCUGCAACAUCUACUCCAGUGCCUAAUGUCAACGCUACGCCAGAUUCUAUAAGCACUAAUGACAUCGUAGCAGCUGCGAUGUUUGCAGCUAUGGAAACAGAUGGAAGACAACAAGUUUGAUUUUUAUUUUUGUCUUUUUUGUACCCUUUGUUUGAAAUUAAUAAAAAAGUAAUAAAUUCA
Long non-coding RNA from Leptidea sinapis, 1042 nucleotides. RefSeq lists it as uncharacterized. The transcript is spliced from 2 exons. NCBI's taxonomy places the organism in Eukaryota, Metazoa, Arthropoda, Insecta, Lepidoptera, Pieridae. The record is from RefSeq and is a predicted model, not a curated record.